ACUCUCGCGACAGCGGAUAUCUCGGCUCUCGCAUGAAGAAGAGCGUAGCAAAAUCGAUACUUGGUGUGAAUUGCAGAAUCCGUGAACCAUCGAGUCUUUGAGCAUAGUUUAAGCCCCAAACCUUACGGCGAGAACGCGUCUGCUGGUGUCACAAAUCGUCGUCCCCAUCCUCUCGGGAUAUGGGAUGGAAGCUGAUCUCCGUGUGUUACCGCCGCGGGUUGGCCAAAAAUCGAGCUAAGGGCGUCGGGGCGUCUUGACAUCGCGGUGGUGAAUUUAAUUCUCGUCAUAUAGUCAGGCGUUCGGUCCAAAAUCUCUUGAUGACCCAAAGUCCUCAACGCGACCCCAGGUCAGGCGGGGAUCACCCGCUGAGUUUAAAAGCAUAUCAAUAAAAGCGAGGAAAAAAACUAACAAGGAUUCCCUUAGUAACGGCGGCGAACCGGGAAGAGCCAGCUUGAAAAUCGGAUGUCUUGGCGUUCGUGUAGUCUGGAAAAGCGUCCUCAGCGGACGGACCGGCCCAAGUUCCCUGGAAAGGGGCGCCAGAGAGGUGAAACCCCGUCGUGCCGGACCCUGUCGCACCACGAAGCUGUCUGUCUCUGAGUCGGGUUGUUUGGGAAUGCAGCCCCAAUCGGGCGGUAAAUUCCGUCAAAGGCUAAAUAUGGGCGAGACCGAUAGCGAACAAAUACCGCGAGUAAAGAUGAAAAAGGACUUUGAAAAGAAGUCAAAGAGUGCUUGAAAUUGUCGGGAGGAAGCGGAUGGGGGCGAUGCGUCCUGGUCGGAUCGCGGAGCGAACAAUCCGGUCCGCCCGAUCGAUUCGAGGCGUGGACCGGCGGGAUUAAAGGUGGUGACCUAAGCCGGGCUUUUGUUUCGCCCAGCGCGGAGGCGUCGCUGCCUUAAUCGUGGUCUGCAACAGCGCCCCUCCACGGCGUGCCUCGGCAUCUGCGUGCUUUCGGGCGUCGGCCUGUGGGCUCCCCAUUCGACCCGUCUUGAAACGGACCAAAGGAGUCUGACAUGUGUGCGAAGUCAGCGGGUGAAGUAAACCCGUAAAAAAGCAAAAGGAAGCUGAUUGGCUGGAUCCCUCACGGGUGCACAGCCGACCGACCUUGAUCUUCGAGAAGGGUUCGAGUGUGAGCAUGCCUGUCGGGACCGAAAGAUGGUGAACUAUGCCUGGCGAAGCGAAGCCAGAGAAAACUCUGGUGGAGGCCCGCCCGAUCGUCUGGCGUGCAAAUCGUUAAAUCGACUUGGGUAUAGGGGCGAAAGACUAAUCGAACCAUCUAGUAGCUGGUUCCCUCCGAAGUUUCCCUCGGGGAUAGCUGGGAGCUUCGGAAAGCGAGUUCUAUCGGGUAAAACCAAUGAUUAGAGGCAUCGGGGGCCUUGAUGUCCUCGACCUAUUCUCAAACUUUAAAUAGGUAGGGCCAGGUGGCUGCUUUGUUGAGCCAUCCCACGGAAUCGAAAAGCUCCAAAGUGGGCCAUUUUGGUAAGCGAACUGGCGUCGCGGGAUGAACCGGAAGCCGGGUCUGGUGGUGCCCAACUGCUUGCGCUAACCUAGAACCCACAAAGGGUGUUGGUCGAUUAAGACAGCGGGGCGGUGGUCAUGGAAGUGAAAUCCGCUAAAGGAGUGUGUAACAACUCACCUGCCGAAUCAACUAGCCCGAAAAUGGAUGGCGCUGGCCGCGACCUAUACCGGCCGUCGGGGGCAAGAGCCGAGCCUCGAUGAGUAGGAGGAGGGCGGCGGUCGCUGCAAAACCUAGGGCGCGAGCCAGGGGAAACGGCGUCGGUGCAGAUCUUGGUGGUAGUAGCAAAUAUUCAAAUGAGAACUUUGAAGGCCGAAGGGGAAAGGUUCCAUGUGAGCGGCACUUGCAUGGGUUAAGUCGAUCCUAAAAGUCGGAAAACCCGUCUGAUAAGCGCUUAUCGCGAACCCGAAAGGGAUCGGUUAAAAUUCGGAACCGGGCGUGGCGGUUGGCGGCACAGCGUUAGAAGUCCGGAGGCGUCGGCGAGAAUUCGGAAAAAAGUUAUCUUUUCUGUUUAACAGCCUGCCCACCCUGGAAGCGGCUCAGCCGGGAGGUAGGUCCAGCGGCUGGAAGAACACCGCCGUCGCGUGGUGUCGGUGCAUUCCCGCGACCCUUGAAAAUCCGGAGGACCGAAUUGCCGCUCACGCCCGGUCGUACUCAUAACGCAUCAGGUCUCCAAGGUGAACAGCCUCUGGUGAUGGAACAAUGUAGGCAAGGGAAGUCGGCAAAAUGGAUCCGUAACCGGAAAAGGAUUGGCUCGAGGGGGCUGGGCUCGGGGUCCCAGUUCGAACCGUCGACUGUUGGCGGGCUGCUUGAGCUGCUAACGUGGCGAGAAGCGGACCUGAUAGACCGCGGUCCGCGGAUCAGUACAUGGGCCGAACCAGCAUGAAGAUCAGGGCGUUCAGAAGUUUUUCAACCGAGGUUCAUGAUUUUCACCAUACUGGCCAGACUGACGACUGUCCCAAAUGCAUCCGGAUGGGAGCUUUGGCUGGAACCAUGGCCAGAUGAUCCCGGAUUUCACUGUACUGGACUUUGUCUUCACCGUCCUGUUUUCCAUUUGAUGAAGAACAGUUCAGACGGAAUCGCAUUUGGGCGCCGCGGAUCCUGAGUUAGGUCAUUGCUAUACAUUUCUGGACAGUACCAUGUACCGCCCCGGAUGUCCGGUUUGAGGCUUCAUCAAUACCCAUGUCCAGACGAUCAAAUUCCACCGAACUGGAGCUCGUAUUUCCCGUACUGAUUGGCAUUUUAAGAGCAACGGUCGAGACAGAUUUGGAUUCGGACGAGUGGAACUCAAGAUAGGCCAGCCAUGACACUUCAAAACUGGCUACUUUGGACUGUCCUGCUUGUGUACUGGCCCAGUCCGCAGGACAUGCUUCAGGAAAGCAAAUGAACCUGGACGAAUUUGAAGGGGGUUUUCACUAGUCAAAGUGUGAUUUCGUGCCUUGACCAGAUCUGGUCAAUUUUAUCAUUUUCUAUGUUUAGAUUUCCCACAUUUUUUUCUUUAAGUCUUUUGACUAGAACUUCUAUAUAAUGUAACCAUCAGAUCUGAAUAAGAUAAUUUCGUUUUGCUUUCAUUCUUUUGAGUUUUUACUCUCUUUGUUCUUUUGUUAGAACAUUUCUUAGUUUCUUGGUGAGGUUAUCUCCAAGUUUCAUCCUUCUUUUUGUUGGACCCGGUCGUCACAUCCGGCAACAUUGAAGUCUGGUAGUAUCUUUGGGCUAUUCCAUAACCCUUAGUGUCACCGUUCAUACCAUCAGUUCUCAAUCCUCUCGGAUCUGAGUUCAUAUCAACCUUACCGAAAGAGUGAUCCUUUAUUUUGGUUCUAUCAAAAGUGGUAUAUCGAGCCACUCUUCCUAUUGAUUGUCUAUUUCAUUCAUCUUUCUCAUCUUCCAUUUUCUUAUAAACACUUCUUCUUCUACCUUUUCUUAAAUCCGGGCCCUCAUUA
Molecule: ribosomal RNA, 3451 nt
Filed under: Brassica rapa (field mustard)
Lineage: Eukaryota; Viridiplantae; Streptophyta; Magnoliopsida; Brassicales; Brassicaceae
Description: eukaryotic LSU rRNA
Rfam family: Eukaryotic large subunit ribosomal RNA
Source: RNAcentral